Molecule: RNA transcript, 1319 nt
Organism: Mytilus californianus (California mussel)
Lineage: Eukaryota; Metazoa; Mollusca; Bivalvia; Mytilida; Mytilidae
Gene name: baculoviral IAP repeat-containing protein 3-like
Exons: 6
Source: RefSeq, a predicted model, not a curated record
GACAUAUUUAGCAUAAUUAUAAAUGGCAUCUAAAAUAUGUGGGAACUGUAUGAGCGAAAAAAACCCAGAGCAUAACUUGAAUAUUUUAAUGUAGGUUAAGCAUAACAUAUCUCUAUACACUUAUCUGUUAUUUUUAUACACUUAAAACCAAUGUUCUAUUUAAGGGUGGAUUCAUUGUGCUAUUAAUAGCGAACGAAAUAUAAAAGUUAUUCAGGAAAUUGUGAAAUUAUAUGACACACGAGAAGGUAUAUACAGUUAAUUAAAGAACAAGAAGAUGUGGAAUGAUUGUCAAGGAGACAACUACCACCAGAAACCAAAUGAGCAUAAAAUUGAGAAUGGAAAUGGGGAAUGUGUCGAAGAGACAACAACCCUACCAUAGAGCAGACAACAGCUGAAGGCCACCAAUGGGUCUUCAAUGCAGCGAGAAACUCCCGCACCCGGAGGCGUCCCUCAGCUGGCCCCUAAACAAAUAAGUAUACUAGUUCAGUGAUAAUGGACGUCAUACUAAACUCCAAAUUAUACACAGGAAACUAAAAUUUUCGUAUUCAUUAUAAAUAUCUGUGGAAAACCCCACGUGUAUUUUUAAUAAACAGAACUUCUCAUUCGUAGAUGUCUGCUGCAUGAUAAUGGAAUACGGAAAAACCUGGAAAACUCAAGAUAAACCAUUUGUGGCUGCUCUUUAUUCUGACGAUUUAUGUCAUACCACAGCCGUCAAGUCUCUGAUGCAGUAUAAUUACCAUACAGUAGAUAUAAUGGAAGCUGUUAAACGUUUUAUCGACUUACAUGGUCACACGAAUUUCAGUGCAGAAGAUCUGUUGAAAUUAGUUAUGGAGAGACAUAAAAGUCAGUAUUCAACGUCUUCAUCGAUGUUGCACAUAGAAACGGAUUGUCCAGAAACACGAAUACCUAUUAACAAAGAGGAAGACACAGACAGUAUUCUUGAAGAAAAUAGACGGAUUGAAGAAAGUAAACUUUGCAAAAUUUGUCUAGAAAAUAAAGUGAACAUUGUGUUUUUACCGUGUGGACAUAUCUGUGCUUGUUCAGACUGUUCACCAGCCAUUCGUAAAUGCGCCAUCUGUCGUGAAUUCAUAAAAAGUGUAAUGAAAGUAGACGUUAUUUAAUCAAGGAAAGUGCUUUUUGCUGCUUUAAAAAUGUAGAUAUCCUCACUUUAUUUUUUGUUUUAUUUUCCCUUCAUCUUAUAUGACUAUAACAUAACUGUUAAUGUACAAUUAAUGUUUUCUUUAAAUGUUAUUUGUAGCGUUUUGCAUAGUCUAUGAUUAGUCAUGGAAAUAAUAUAAUAAAUGGAAAUGGAAUUUAAA